Molecule: long non-coding RNA, 747 nt
Filed under: Gopherus agassizii (Agassiz's desert tortoise)
Lineage: Eukaryota; Metazoa; Chordata; Testudines; Testudinidae
Description: lncRNA (ENSGAGG00000001540.1)
Source: RNAcentral
UCCUCUGCGCCUUCCCCAUUCCCUCCUUCCUCUCCUCCUCUGCACCUUCCCCAUUCCCUCCCUCCACUUCCUCUGCACCUUCCCCAUUCCUUCCUUCCACUCCUCCUCUGCGCCUUCCCCAUUCCCUCCCUCUACUUCCUCUGCACCUUCCUCAUUUCUCUCCUUCCACUCCUCCCCUGUGCCUUCCCCAUUCCCUCCCUCCACUUCCUCUGCGCCUUCCCUUUUUCCCUCCUACCACUCCUCCUUCCUCAUUCCCUCCUUCCACUCCUCCCCUGCGCCUUCCCCAUUCCCUCUUUCCACUUCCUCUGCGCCUUCCACAUUCCCUCCUUCCACGCCUCCUCCCAGGCUAUUCCCCAUUCCCUCCUUCCACUUCCUCUGCGCCUUCCACAUUCCCUCCUUCCACGCCUCCUCCCAGGCUAUUCCCCAUUCCCUCCUUCCACUCCUCCUCCCAGGCUAUUCCCCAUUCCCUCCUUCCACUUCCUCUGUGCCUUCCCCAUUCCCUCCUUCCUCCGCUGUUGCUCCCAGUAUGCCCGGGCAACCCCAUGGAAUUGGCGUCAGUGGGGUGAAGUGCCCGGAGCCCCCCCGCUGUGGUGGAGGGGGGUGGGUUUGUGUUGCUGUCUGCACUGGGGGAAGCUAAGAAGCUUUGAGCCCAGCCCGGUGCUCCUGGAAUAAACGCUGCUGACCAGUCAGAGCCUCCGAGCCAUUUCUUGCGGGAGGUCCUGCGGGGCGGGGGACAGGGAGUGGUGG